UUCGCAUUAAUUACCUUGCCCCUCAUGAGGACUCAGGGGCAGUGCUCCCCUAAGGGUCUCUUGUACGUAGUGUUGCCAGAUGUUUAUGCAUGAGGGGGGGGGGGUAUAUUAAAAAAA
Long non-coding RNA from Strongylocentrotus purpuratus (purple sea urchin), 117 nucleotides. RefSeq lists it as uncharacterized. Lineage: Eukaryota; Metazoa; Echinodermata; Echinoidea; Camarodonta; Strongylocentrotidae. The record is from RefSeq and is a predicted model, not a curated record. The transcript has 2 exons.